Molecule: ribosomal RNA, 504 nt
Filed under: uncultured bacterium
Lineage: Bacteria
Description: partial 16S ribosomal RNA
Rfam family: Bacterial small subunit ribosomal RNA
Source: RNAcentral
AUAGAACGCUGGCGGCAUGCCUUACACAUGCAAGUCGAACGGCAGCAUGGAGAGCUUGCUCUCUGAUGGCGAGUGGCGAACGGGUGAGUAAUGCAUCAGAACGUACCGUGUAAUGGGGGAUAACGUAGCGAAAGUUACGCUAAUACCGCAUACGACCUGAGGGUGAAAGCAGGGGAUCGCAAGACCUUGCGUUAUACGAGCGGCCGAUGUCAGAUUAGCUAGUUGGUGAGGUAAAGGCUCACCAAGGCGACGAUCUGUAGCGGGUCUGAGAGGAUGAUCCGCCACACUGGGACUGAGACACGGCCCAGACUCCUACGGGAGGCAGCAGUGGGGAAUUUUGGACAAUGGGGGCAACCCUGAUCCAGCCAUGCCGCGUGAGUGAAGAAGGCCUUCGGGUUGUAAAGCUCUUUCGGCCGGGAAGAAAUCGCACAGGCUAAUACUCUGUGUGGAUGACGGUACCGGCAUAAGAAGCACCGGCUAACUACGUGCCAGCAGCCGCGGUAA